RNAcentral lists this small RNA (77 nucleotides) under Xanthomonas dyei. Its description in RNAcentral is "sX9 sRNA". It matches the Rfam family "Xanthomonas sRNA sX9". The record is from RNAcentral. Lineage: Bacteria; Pseudomonadati; Pseudomonadota; Gammaproteobacteria; Lysobacterales; Lysobacteraceae.
AGGUACCACCCGUAGAUUCCGGUUCUGCGUGCGUCGUCCGCACGCAGCUGACGGCGGCUCGCGACGGUGUGUUAGCC